RNAcentral lists this ribosomal RNA (231 nucleotides) under uncultured Staphylococcus sp. Its description in RNAcentral is "partial 16S ribosomal RNA". It matches the Rfam family "Bacterial small subunit ribosomal RNA", at positions 109 to 334 of the family's 1533-position model. The record is from RNAcentral. Lineage: Bacteria; Bacillati; Bacillota; Bacilli; Caryophanales; Staphylococcaceae.
AGUAACACGUGGAUAACCUACCUAUAAGACUGGGAUAACUUCGGGAAACCGGAGCUAAUACCAGAUAAUAUUUUGAACCGCAUGGUUCAAAAGUGAAAGACGGUCUUGCUGUCACUUAUAGAUGGAUCCGCGCUGCAUUAGCUAGUUGGUAAGGUAACGGCUUACCAAGGCAACGAUGCAUAGCCGACCUGAGAGGGUGAUCGGCCACACUGGAACUGAGACACGGUCCAG